GCUCGGGUAGCUCAGUUGGUUUAGAGCAUUCGCCUGAAGAGCGAAGGGUCGCCGGUUCGAGUCCGGCCCCGAGCA
RNAcentral lists this transfer RNA (75 nucleotides) under bacterium. RNAcentral describes it as "tRNA-Phe". It matches the Rfam family "tRNA". From Rfam's summary of the family: Transfer RNA (tRNA) molecules are approximately 80 nucleotides in length. The record is from RNAcentral.